This 229-nucleotide long non-coding RNA is filed under the name Gallus gallus (chicken). Lineage: Eukaryota; Metazoa; Chordata; Aves; Galliformes; Phasianidae. The record is from RNAcentral.
GAAAAAGGAAACCCAGGGAAAGCUGGGGAGAUACUGAUGCUGCAGGAUCACAGCACGGGGAAAAGAGAACCAAGGGAGCUGCAGUCACCAGUGCCAUAUGGAGUUGCUGAAGAAGUCAGGACUGAGAGAGCAAAGGCGGUCUGACCUGGACAAGAAGGCGAAGAAAGAGCUGACUCAGAGGGAGCUUCGCAGGACUUGGAGUGGGGCUGGACCCACCUGGGAAGAAAAG